RNAcentral lists this long non-coding RNA (6512 nucleotides) under Olea europaea subsp. europaea. Lineage: Eukaryota; Viridiplantae; Streptophyta; Magnoliopsida; Lamiales; Oleaceae. The record is from RNAcentral.
UUUCAGUCUUGGCUUUUCAACUUCUGGGUUCUUCUUGAGAUCUCUCUUUCUUGUUCUUUGAGAGACCUUUCUUUUUCUUCUAUUUUUAAUUUCUGUUUCUUGUGAUCUUACAUGAGAUCUUGGUUAAACUGGAAGAACCUUAUACAAUAUAUCUUGCUAAAGUAAUUUGGCCAAUUGUAAGGCCUAUGUUGUGUAUAUUUUGAUUAGACAAUAGGGGCCUUGGUUUAUUGGUGAUUAAUGUUUGAUUUUGUGAGAUCCUUUGGAUCAAUGAUCGGAUCCAGUGUCCGAGUGUGGUCUCUGUCUCUUAGAAGGUUAUUUUCCACAUAAUAAAAGGGCCAACCACAGAGCCCCCAGGUUAGGCAUUUUUCGUCGAACUGGGUGAACAAUUGUUUGUGUUCUUUACUAUUUUUGUGCGUGAUUGAUUGUUUAUUCUCACACGAACAAUGAAACAAACUGGUAAAUCCUUACAAAUAUGGUAUCAGAGCUAUUCAGACUUCGAGUCACGAUUUCCUGUCAGAGAAUCAUCUUCUUAAUCCACCUUAAUUCAUAUUUUUAUAUACAUUGAAUUUUUUUUGGAAAUUAUUACCGAUCGAUUUUCUGAUAAGUACAGUGCCUGAAAGCCAUAACUGGUGAUCUUGGUGUCUUGGGCUCGAAUGGGUUUCUUGGUAGGUGGUCUAAGUAUUUGAAUUUUAAUAAGCCAACCGUGCAAUGGGUGAGAUUGUUCUAAUUUUGACUUUACUCAUAAUAACUAAAAAGCAUGCAUUUGUUUGUUCUUAAAGAUUGGGUGACACUAGUUGAUAAAUUUUUAAGAACAAUUUCAUUCUUGUAUGUGAUAUCUGUAUGAGAUGGUAUUGAGGCAUGUUUUAAGUUGGUAAUCUCAAUAUAUUGUAUUAUGUGAUCUUGAGAUUAAUUACUUGUUGACUUUGCUAUGAUAGCUUGGAUACUCUUGUUGAUACUAUAUUGUAAUUCUUAAGUCAGUUUACCUUUUAAUUGUUGCAAAGUUUUUUCAAAACCUUUCCUGCACUUAAGUGAUCAACUAUUAAGAAUCACUUAUGUCCACAAGUAAUCACCACCCUUUUACUGAACCUAUAAUGGAUUUGAAGUUCGAGUUGUCUCAAUUCGAUGGAAAAUAAUACUCGAUAUUGAAGCAGAAAAUUAGGGCUAUAUUGGUCCAACAAAGGUUUACUAAAGCCCUAGAUGAUCCUAAAAUUUUUUUUGCUAAAUUAAAGGCUAGACCUGAUGAAAUUCUAGAAAUGAAUGAAAUUGUUUAUAGCUCAAUUAUCUAGCAUUUAUCUGACAACAUUAUAAGACAAGUUGAAGAUUCUAAAACACAUAGAUCCUUAUGGACAGCACUUGAUGCACUGUUCUUGAUUAAGACAUUGCCAAACAAAAUCUAUUUGCUGGAGAAAUUAUUCACUUUUAAGAUGGACAUUGGGAAAGACCUAGAAACAAACUUGAGUGAUUUUAGUAUUUUAGUUAAGAGUCUUGCACACAAUGACAAGAAAUUCUAUGAUGAAGACCUUGCAGUUAUACUAUUCAACUCACUGCCUGAAUCUUAUAAGGAUAUAAAAAAUGCCGUAAAAUACUCAAGAGAUGCUCUAACUCAAACUACAGUAACAAAUGCUUUAAUAGCUAGAGAACUAAAGGCCAAGAAAGAAACUAUAUCUUAUACAAGAGAAGAUGGCAUGUUUGUUAGAGGGAGAACAGAAAAGAAAGAAAAUGAUACCUAGAAUAGAAAAUUUAAAUUUAAAUCCAGAGGUAGAUCCAAAUCCAGGGAUAAGUGUAUUAAAGAGUGUUAUCACUGUGAAAAACUUGGGCACUUUAAGAGACUAUUUUGAAGUGCAAAGGAAACACAAAUACCAAAGCAUUGUUGACCUGACCAAUGUUACUAUCAGUCGUGAUCUGGAUAGUCUUCUUGUAAUGUUUGUGUCCGAUGAUGAUAGUAACAAGGAUUGGAUCUUAGACUCAAGAUGCACAUUUCACAUGAGUCCUAAUAGAUCUUGGUUCUACAAUUACAAAUCAAUUGAAUCCAAGAAAGUGUACAUGGGAGAUGACAAUUCCCAAAUAGUACGGGGAAUUGGUGACAUUGCUAUUAAAAUGCAUGAUGACAUUGUGAGACAAAUCAAGAAUGUUAGGCAUGUCCCAAACCUAAAAAGAAACCUUAUUGCAUUAGGGAUUCUUGAAGAUGAAGGGUAUACAUUUAAAUGUGAUAAUAACAUACUAAAAGUGAUGAAGGGAUUACUUGUUAUGUUGAAAGGACCCAAGAAGAAUGGGCUAUAUUAUCUUCCUAGAGAAACCAUAACCACUCAAGAUAAUAGCUCUUUAACUGUAAUUGAAAUUAAGUCUGAAUUUUGUCGUAAUAGAUUAGGACAUACUGGCAAUAAGGGCCUAAAAUAUCUAAGUAAUAAAAAGUUACCUGGGAAAGAUAUAAUUGAGCCCCAUCAAUUUUUUGAGACUUGUGUAUUAGGUAAGUCCCAUAAGGUGAGUUUUAAUAUAGGGUCUCAUACCACUAAUAGACCUUUGGAUUAUGUUCAUUCUGACGUGCGGGGACUUGACAGUCACCUCACCUUUGGGGGGAACAGAUACUUUCUGUCCAUCAUUGAUGACUCUUCCAAGAAAGUCUAGGUUUACUCUUUGAGGGCCAAAUCUGAAACUUUCCAGAAAUUCAAAACUUGGCUUAAAAUUAUAGAGAAUCAGUUGAAUAAGAAACUGAAAACACUAAGGAUUGAUAAUAGAUUGGAGUUCUAUAAUUCUAAAUUUGAGAACCUCUGUAAACAAAAAGGGGUGUCUGAUGCAGGAGGAUCCAAGUCAAGUGAUGCUGAUUUGUCAGAUUGCACGAUGAUGGCGCUGAGAUACCAUGAGAUGGCGGAUCGGCGCAAAGAUGGAAAGUAAAAUCCCCAUUAGCCUUUUGGAAAGUAAAAUCACCAUUAUUUCCUUAAUUUGGAGAUUUUGACGCGUUUUUGGUAAUUUGGCCAUAACUUUGGCUACGAUUAUCGGAAUCGCUAUUAUGACCCCAAUUCGGAAAGCUCUCUUCGGCGCGCACGUCGUGGCCACCAAGUUUUGCUCGGUGGACGUCAAUUUCAAGCCCAAAAUCCACUGUUUUCCUUUCCAAAAUUCAAUUUUAAGUUAUUUUUUACUAUUUAUGGUAAUAUUUAGUUUCCUUUUUUCUUUAUGUUAGAGAACUCGAAUUAAGCCAAAUUUUUGGCAACUUACUUCUUUUACUUAAUAUUUUAUUUUGGUAUAAUUUUGGAAUUUUGCCAUUUUUGGUAAUUUUUCAAUAAUUUCGUAUUUCGCAGCUAUUUAACCCGACUUGUGGGUUUGUUUUUAGCAUUCUGCAUUAUUAAUAAUAUUGAGUUGAAUUCAGAGUAUUUUCUCUGUUUUUUGGGCGUUUUCUAUAGUUCUUUUCUUGCGAAUCAUCUGCUACAACAAGCCAAUAGGAUAAUCACUAUCCUACCCGGCGUCAGUGUCAGACAUAGGAUUGUUAGAAACGCACCCCAACAAAAUGGGUUAGCUGAAAGAAUGAACAGAAACUCAUGAACAAAGUCAGAUGCCUUCUUAUCAGCUUAGGGCUUGUAAAAGGGUUCUGGUUCUGAGCUGAGGCUAUUUGAACAGCUACAUACCUCAUAAGUAGGUCCCCUAGCAGAUUUGUUGGCUUUAAAAUACCUCAAGAAUUAUAGACUAUAAAACCACCUGACCUAUCAAAUAUUAGAGUUUUUGGAUCCUAGGGCAACAAAGUGUGUUUUCCUGGGAAUAUCCUGAAGGGGUAAAGAGUUACAAACUAUGUGUCUUGGAAAAGGCAUAAAAAUAAUCAACAGUAGGAAUAUUUUGUUCAAUGAAUCUGAAAUGCCAUGUUUAAAAAAUAAGACUGAAAAAGAUGUUGAGCGAAAUGAAAGAAACAUUCCUUCUAAUGAAGUUAAGUUGGCCAGGUUCAUUAACUCAUUACCUAAUGAAAAUGAACCUGCUACACAAGAAACUCCAGAGAGGAUUGGGGAGCCUGAUGAAGGUGAAGGUAGUUUCCUUAACAUAGAAACUGAACUUGAGAUUGCACCACUCCUAACAAUUCUAACACUGAACUUAUUAAUUAAGGCUACUAACUUGUGAGAGAUAGGGAAAGAAGGCAAGUGAAGCCUAACCCUAGGUAUGAAAUUGACAAUUUGAUUGAUUUUGCCUUAACAUCUGAUGAAGCAUGAGAGAAUUGAGAACUUUUUACCGUUGAGGAAGCUAUGAAUUGCCCAAAUGCUGCAAAUGGGAAAAUUGCAAUGAGGGAAGAAAUGAAAUCCAUAACUAAAAAUAAAACAUGGAAUUGGUAAAAAAAAAAAAAAAAGGGCCUAAUAGUCGUAGAAUUGUUCGUUGUAAGUGGAUUUACAAGUUAAAGGAAAGAAAUAACUCAUCAGACCCCAUAAGGUAUAAAGUCAGGCUGGUUACCAAAAGCUUUACCCAGAGAGAACUUGUCCCUGUUCUACUUCUUUCGAUUCUCUAUUGUAUCUUCAGUCUCGAUCUUGUCUUGUAUCAAACUUAUCGACUGAUGGUAAGGGGCUAGAUUCUUGUUACAGACAUCUCAAAAGGAGGGAUUCUCCAUCAGUAAUCCUUUCCACGAGGCAUCUCGAGCCUUCUCGUUCGGUAUUGUUUCAUAAGCAAUCAGUUCAACACUAAAAUGCGUAAAGUAGCUCUUGAAUGACUAGUCUUCCUCCUAACGCUUUCCACUGACCUAGUAGCUGACGUUUAUCCUAUCCUAUUUUGUACAAAUGCCCUAGGAAAGCUUGUUUUAACUACGACCAACUUCGGAUCAAACCUAGAGGUAACUUGCUAUACCACCGCUUGGAAGAUCGUUCGAAGUAAGAUGGAAACCUUAAGAAUAGGACUAACUUUCUCCAAUCGACACACAAAUGGAACAUAUGAUCUUCUUUGUCAAGGUACUUAUCCAUAACCGAACGAUUUAAAUUUUCUCGGGAUUGCUUUCUCCUUGAUCUCUCUUGAGAAUGGUAGAUGUUCAUCAUCGUCUUUUGUUUCUACGACCUUAUAGGUCGACCUUCAUAUACCUCAUCCAGAGAAGUGCUAUAAGAGAUAUUGAAUAGACUUUCAACCUCCAACCUUUUGAACGACUAUUCAUAUUAUCCUGUUAGAUAACCUCCUCUGGAAACCUUUCCUUGGCAGAACUAUUUCUGCUCUAUCAUUUGCAUUGAUUUUCGGGUGUACUGUCCUAGGUUUUUUAUGCAUGCACGCUGCUGUUAUCAUUACAGAAUGCACUGUCAGCUGGAAUAUUUUCAUUUUCUUCAAUUUUACCCUACACUUGUAUUCUCUUUCUUCGCCCGUAGAGAAACAUUCUCUGCAAUAAACGCUUUCAAACUUAGCCAUAUCCUUAAUGGUUUUGGCAGUAGAGAUUUUCUUAUGCAAGAGAGAUGCCAACUUACACUUUCGCAUGAGUUUUUUCUUUCUGUCUAUUAAUAUUAGCGUCAUAACCAGUGGAAAGUCACUGGAACCGUUGUCUUCCACUUUUAACAGUUUUAUUUUCUCUCAUUUCUCCUCAAUUUGACUCACAAUUUCAGAUAUCAAGAGUUUUAACUUUCAGAUAUAAUAAGAUUUCAUGGUCUACUUUAUGCAAGUUUUUUCACAAAUAAUGCCAAUUUGUUAACAAUAGAAAUCUGAUCAACAAAUCCUACUCACCCAUCUAUGAUUAUUACUUCCUAAACUCCCUAGUUUUGAUGCUCAAAAUAAGGCAAGAAGAGAAAUUGUUAUUUGAGAGUGAGAUAUUUGAAUUACAUGCUCUUCAAAUGAGGGGGUAUUUAUAUAUUUUCCUCCAAGGUUUGACAUUUUAAGAUAAUGAUAGAUGGCGGCUCUAUAAUUGCUCUAUAAUAAUUAAUUCUGUUAAUAGUCACGCUUUAUUCAUUAGCUCACGUAUUUUUUAUUGAUAGCUUGUAACCAGCCUAUAUUAGAAAUAUGGUUUGUAGGCUUUGUGCGAGCCUCUUGUAUUUCAUUCAUCUUGCUUGCAUGUUACACUUUGUAAGUUGUUGGCUGGGUUCAUAAAUUGCAUUUUGAGGGUCAACGUGUGGGCCACCAUCAAUAUGAAUUUUCUGGACAACAAAAUAUUAAUGACAUUGGUAACUAAUUGGGAAUUUGGAAACUAUAGCAAAGUAAAUAAAACAAUUGUGGUGGGUAUAAAGACGAUUCACAAUUUAAAUUGAGGCACAAGCUAGUAAUGUGCUUGCAUAUGUGGGUCCAUUUUUCAUGGAUUGAUCGGAUUCGAAAAUUUUCGGCUAUGCUGACGGAAUCAUAUUUCUAUUUGGAUUGUUGUUGUUAAAUCCUCCGAGAUUGUUUGGAUUGAAGAUUUAGAUUAAAUAUUGAGCUAGGAUCCAAUUAGUUUUUAAUUUUUAAUUCUUAAGUUGUUUCUUGCCACAAAUAAUUGUUAAUUUAUCGCUUUAUGAAUGCUUUAAUUUAUAUUUGAAACAUUUAUCAUUCUAGAUAUCAUGAUAUAUAGAUUUAUUUGUGAUAUCGCACGUAAUACUAUAAAGAGC